Cercocebus atys (sooty mangabey) is the source of this 2289-nucleotide long non-coding RNA. RefSeq lists it as uncharacterized. The transcript has 3 exons. NCBI's taxonomy places the organism in Eukaryota, Metazoa, Chordata, Mammalia, Primates, Cercopithecidae. The record is from RefSeq and is a predicted model, not a curated record.
AGCCCUGCAGCGCCUCGUCCCGCUGCCGGCGUCUCCGAGGCCCACGACGUGCGGUGACUGGGGCGGGCGACGUGGGGGACCCGGGGAUGCGGGCGGACGAUAGGGGACUGGAGGAUGGGGCGACCCAGAGCACGGGCCUCCCGGGAGCUGGAUGCUCGGAGCAGAAAGGCGGCCCUAGGGGCCCCUUCCGGUCCCGGGGCUGACGCCUGGCGGCGUCGCCGAGAACCCGCGCCCUUUCAACCGCCGCUGGCUCCUGUUUCACAGAUGGAGACCCUGAAGCCCCAACAAGCAGCUUCCCCAGCACCGCCCAGUGACUGAAAAAGCUGGCACUGGGCGCCCGUCUCACUCCCCACCCAGCUCCCAGGCUGCCCCACUGGACCAGCAUCUUUGGGGAGAGACAAGACCUGAACAGACGCUGGGGCCGGAUUCCCAGGGUGGGUCAGAACAGCCGCUGCCCUGAAAGCCGGCUCGGACAGAUGCGUGCAGGGCGUGCCACCGGAGCUCCUUGCAGCUUGCGUCUGGGGCCACCAUGUCCCUUCCUCAGGGCGCUGGAUCCAUCUCUUCAAGCUCAGCGGUCCAGGCCAUGGUGGCAGAAUCACCCCCCAGGGUGUGACGCCACGUCCUUAUCAAUUCCACACAGCUGCACCUGGAAGAGCUGUGGCUGGGCGCCGCUCUGACCUGUGUGCGGUCCCCUGAAUGGGUCUCAGGUGUCUUCAGAAUGGCAAGGCCGCCUCAUUUCCUCGCCACACAACCCUCCUGAGGACGCUGCCUGCAAAUGGGCUGAAUUCCUAAUUUCUACCAUUCAAUUAAACGAGGGAUCCUUAAACCCCAAAGCUGGGAAAGCUGUCCGUUAAUUUAGUGCGAAGCCUGUGGCAGCUGUCCACUCGUGGGCCAUCUCCGAACAGCAGGAUUCCCAGGAGUCCAGCAGGACAGGGGAGGGGAUGAGUGGCCGCGUCCCCCUGGCAGAGAAGGCCUUGUCUGAAGGCUACGCCCGCCUCCGGUACAGGGACACCUCCUUGCUCAUCUGGCAGCAGCAACAGCAGAAGUUGGAGUCGGUGCCCCCCGGGACAUACCUGAGCAGGAGCCGAAGCAUGUGGUACUCACAGUAUGGAAAUGAGGCCAUCUUGGUCCGAGACAAAAACAAGCUCGAGGUCUCCAGGGACACAGGGCAGUCCAAGUUUUGCACAAUCAUGUAAUUCCCAUGUGAGCACCUGAGCCCAGGACCACUCUUCGAGGAAAACAGACAUGGGUUUCAUUCAGUUGUCUGGAUUUCUAAUCCUUGCUGGAAGAUUUUGAAUAAGGAAUGUGAAGAUCAAACCGUGGCGUAAGAACCCAAGCAGCACAGAAUCUGCCCCUGAGUCCCUCAGCACAGCUUCGGUGUGACUGGUGCACAGGACACUUCCCCUCUAGAGUCCCCUCAGUUACUAGUCAGCUGUUUCGACAUUCAAAUUCUCCAGGUGCUGCUAGGGACAGCAUAGGCCUGGGCACUGCUAGAUGCUUGGUUUAACCAAGCCAAGAGUAACCCUCCCAUCCCCGUUAUAAAGCAUCUUUUCAAGUUUGUAUAGGUUUUAGUUUUUUGUUUUUAACAUAAAUGGCGGAGUAGCAGCAGCAUCUCACUGGGAGCUUUGUCGCACUUACAUUUUGUUGUUUGCUUUUUGAGACAGGGUCUCACUCUGUUGCCCAGGCCAGGUCGACAAGUGGUACGAUCACAGCUCACUGUAGGUUCGAUCUCAUGGGCUCAGGUGAUCUUCCCAAACUGAGCUUCUCAGGUAGCUGUGGCUCCAGGUGAACUACUGUGUAUAGAGACAGGGUUUCCCUAUGUUGCCCAGGCUGGUCUUACACUCCUGGGCUCAAGCCUCCCAUGGUGCUGGGACUACAGGCGUGGGCCACUGCACCAAGCCCGCAUUUAUAUUUUGAGUUACCAAAAUGAUCGUCCUGUGUGAAGCAUCAUAGUAGCUUCCAAGCAUUUGCGGCCCACCGGCCAGUGCCUCCAAAACACAUUCAGGAAACCUGAGAGUUGUAAGUUGCACUUGUGUGGCGUACAGUGAUUUCCAUGUAGUAACAGGGCUGAGCAAGGCAGGCUCUCCAUCAGACUUGAAGCAUUCAGCCUCUGCCCCCAGGCCGCCACUGACAUGUGUUCACUGUCGCUGCCACAGCUGGCCACCUGUGUGUUCAGUCUCCAUGAAGGAUUCACCCUCUGCUCUGACAUCUCCUUGGCUACACAAAUGUGCAGGUGUCUCUUGUCAAAGCUAAUUUUUAUUUUCUAAAUAAACAUCCUUUAAUACACUG